Molecule: long non-coding RNA, 237 nt
Filed under: Nicotiana benthamiana
Lineage: Eukaryota; Viridiplantae; Streptophyta; Magnoliopsida; Solanales; Solanaceae
Description: long non-coding RNA (NBEN_LNC038694)
Source: RNAcentral
AGGGCCUUUACUCUUUAGAGAUGCUUGAUAAAGCUCAACCAAUUAUCUUGGUACACGGCAAAUUUUCGCCCAGUGCCCUUUUCCACCGCAACGAUAAUAUUUAUUUUAUGAACUAUUUGCUUUUGGAUUCUCAUGGCAUCGUGCUUGUGGCAGAGUGACCAACUUCAGGUUGUCAUAUCUCUCCUUUAAGCCAUUCCACAAGAUAGGUGGAUCUUUGACUGUGAUAUAUUCAAUUNN